AGCUUUGUGCAGUGGUAGUAUCGUAGCCAAUGAGGUUUAUCCGAGGCACGAUUACUGCUAAUUGAAAAAGUCUUAGGCUUGGUAGCUUCUAUCCUGGUCCUGCAGAUACUUAAGAUGAUUUUCUCUUAUCCCUCAAUCAUUCUUUUAUCCAUCCACUCUUGAGCAUCCAUAAUGUGUCCAGCACUGCCCAAAGAUUGGUAGAAGACAGGGUAUUUGAUUUUAGGAAAU
RNAcentral lists this small nuclear RNA (228 nucleotides) under Physeter macrocephalus (sperm whale). RNAcentral's name for it is "Physeter catodon (sperm whale) U4 spliceosomal RNA (ENSPCTG00005016480.1)". The stretch from base 1 to 75 matches the Rfam family "U4 spliceosomal RNA". The record is from RNAcentral. Lineage: Eukaryota; Metazoa; Chordata; Mammalia; Artiodactyla; Physeteridae.